AUUGAACGCUGGCGGCAGGCUUAACACAUGCAAGUCGAGCGGGGGAAGGUAGCUUGCUACCGGACCUAGCGGCGGACGGGUGAGUAAUGCUUAGGAAUCUGCCUAUUAGUGGGGGACAACAUCUCGGAAGGGAUGCUAAUACCGCAUACGUCCUACGGGAGAAAGCAGGGGAUCUUCGGACCUUGCGCUAAUAGAUGAGCCUAAGUCGGAUUAGCUAGGUGGGGGGGUAAAGGCCUACCAAGGCGACGAUCUGUAGCGGGUCUGAGAGGAUGAUCCGCCACACUGGGACUGAGCCACGGCCCAGACUCCUACGGGAGGCAGCAGUGGGGAAUAUUGGACAAUGGGGGGAACCCUGAUCCAGCCAUGCCGCGUGUGUGAAGAAGGCCUUAUGGUUGUAAAACACUUUAAGCGAGGAGGAGGCUACUCUAGUUAAUACCUAGGGAUAGUGGACGUUACUCGCAGAAUAAGCACCGGCUAACUCUGUGCCAGCCGCCGCCGUAA
RNAcentral lists this ribosomal RNA (501 nucleotides) under uncultured bacterium. Its description in RNAcentral is "partial 16S ribosomal RNA". It matches the Rfam family "Bacterial small subunit ribosomal RNA", at positions 30 to 523 of the family's 1533-position model. The record is from RNAcentral.